This 253-nucleotide ribosomal RNA is filed under the name uncultured bacterium. Its description in RNAcentral is "partial 16S ribosomal RNA". It matches the Rfam family "Bacterial small subunit ribosomal RNA", at positions 524 to 776 of the family's 1533-position model. The record is from RNAcentral.
UACGUAGGAGACGAGCGUUGUCCGGAAUCACUGGGCGUAAAGCGCGUGUAGGCGGAUUGGUAAGUCUGCUGUGAAAGCUCCUGGCUUAACCGGGAGUGGUCGGUGGAAACUGCCAAUCUGGAGGACGGUAGAGGUAGGUAGAAUUCCCGGUGUAGUGGUGAAAUGCGUAGAGAUCGGGAGGAAUACCUGUGGCGAAGGCGGCCUACUGGGCCGGACCUGACGCUGAGACGCGAAGGCGUGGGGAGCGAACGGG